RNAcentral lists this ribosomal RNA (497 nucleotides) under uncultured bacterium. RNAcentral describes it as "partial 16S ribosomal RNA". It matches the Rfam family "Bacterial small subunit ribosomal RNA", at positions 28 to 507 of the family's 1533-position model. The record is from RNAcentral.
GACGAACGCUGGCGGCGUGCCUAAUGCAUGCAAGUUGAGCGAUGAAGAUUGGUGCUUGCACCAAUUUGAAGAGCAGCGAACGGGUGAGUAACGCGUGGGGAAUCUGCCUUUGAGCGGGGGACAACAUUUGGAAACGAAUGCUAAUACCGCAUAACAACUUUAAACAUAAGUUUUAAGUUUGAAAGAUGCAAUUGCAUCACUCAAAGAUGAUCCCGCGUUGUAUUAGCUAGUUGGUGAGGUAAAGGCUCACCAAGGCGAUGAUACAUAGCCGACCUGAGAGGGUGAUCGGCCACAUUGGGACUGAGACACGGCCCAAACUCCUACGGGAGGCAGCAGUAGGGAAUCUUCGGCAAUGGACGAAAGUCUGACCGAGCAACGCCGCGUGAGUGAAGAAGGUUUUCGGAUCGUAAAACUCUGUUGGUAGAGAAGAACGUUGGUGAGAGUGGAAAGCUCAUCAAGUGACGGUAACUACCCAGAAAGGGACGGCUAACUACGUG